CCUACGGGAGGCAGCAGUGAGGAAUCUUGGUCAAUGGACGCGAGCCUGAACCAGCCACGUAGCGUGAAGGAUGAAUGCCCUACGGGUUGUAAACUUCUUUUAUAAAGGAAUAAAGUGAGGCACGUGAGCCUUUUUGUUUGUACUUUAUGAAUUAGGAUCGGCUCACUCCGUGCCAGCAGCCGCGGUACUACGGAGGAUCCGAGCGUUACACGGAUUUAUUGGGUUUAAAGGGAGCGUAGAUGGGGUGUUAAGUCAGUUGUGAAAGUUUGCGGCUCAACCGUAAAAUUGCAAUUGAUAAUGGCAGUCUUGAGUACAGUUGAGGUAGGUGGAAUUCGUUGUGUAGCGGUGGAAUGCGUAGAUAUCACGAAGAACUCCGAUGGCGAAGGCAGCUUACUAAACUGCCACUGACAUUGAGGCUCGAAAGUGUGGGUAGCAAACAGGAUUAGAUACCCUAGUAGUC
This 460-nucleotide ribosomal RNA is filed under the name uncultured bacterium. RNAcentral describes it as "partial 16S ribosomal RNA". It matches the Rfam family "Bacterial small subunit ribosomal RNA", at positions 338 to 795 of the family's 1533-position model. The record is from RNAcentral.